ACUGGGGGUUGUGGUGUGCCCCUGUAAUCCAACUACUUGGAGGUCGGGUUCUGAGGAUGAUUUGCGGUCGGGAUCAACUGUGUCUGGGUGCUACUACGUUGACUGGAUGUCCGCACUAAGCUGGCCAUCAACAUGGUGUAUUCUGGGGAGCCAAUUUACACCAGGUUAGCUAAGGAGGGGCGAAUCGGGCCAGGGGGGAAACCCAGCAGCCAAAAGUCCCCGUGGUUUGCAGUAGUGGGAUCGCGUCCAUGAGUGGGGCCCCAGUUACAGCCCAACCAAUAUAAUUAGACCAGAAUCUUU
This 300-nucleotide signal recognition particle RNA is filed under the name Rhodnius prolixus. Its description in RNAcentral is "metazoan signal recognition particle RNA". It matches the Rfam family "Metazoan signal recognition particle RNA". Rfam says of the family: The signal recognition particle (SRP) is a universally conserved ribonucleoprotein. It is involved in the co-translational targeting of proteins to membranes. Lineage: Eukaryota; Metazoa; Arthropoda; Insecta; Hemiptera; Reduviidae. The record is from Rfam by way of RNAcentral.